GAGGUGGGAGGAUUGCUUGAGCUGGGGAGGUUGAGGCUGCAGUAAGUUGUGUUCAUGCCACUGCACUCCACCUGGGUGCCAGAACAAGACCUUGUCUCA
This 99-nucleotide microRNA precursor is filed under the name Chlorocebus sabaeus (green monkey). RNAcentral's name for it is "miRNA (ENSCSAG00000025055.1)". The record is from RNAcentral. Lineage: Eukaryota; Metazoa; Chordata; Mammalia; Primates; Cercopithecidae.